CCCGUUUUUGCCCUUAAGAGGUGGGGUGGGGUCCUCUGAGCUUCAAGCUGCUGGGCUCAGUCUUCCACCCUCCACGCAGCGAGGGGGAUAAAGUGAAGAUCGCGCAGGGUGUCUCGGGCUCCAUCCAGGACAAAGGAUCCAUUCAGAAGUUCGUGCCCUACCUCAUAGCAGGCAUCCAACACGGCUGCCAGGAUAUCGGGGCCCGCAGCCUGUCUGUCCUUCGGUCCAUGAUGUACUCAGGAGAGCUCAAGUUUGAGAAGCGGACCAUGUCGG
This 273-nucleotide long non-coding RNA is filed under the name Pan troglodytes (chimpanzee). RNAcentral describes it as "long non-coding RNA NONPTRT016365". Lineage: Eukaryota; Metazoa; Chordata; Mammalia; Primates; Hominidae. The record is from RNAcentral.